RNAcentral lists this ribosomal RNA (258 nucleotides) under uncultured bacterium. Its description in RNAcentral is "partial 16S ribosomal RNA". It matches the Rfam family "Bacterial small subunit ribosomal RNA", at positions 524 to 776 of the family's 1533-position model. The record is from RNAcentral.
UACGAAGGGGGGCUAGCGUUGCUCGGAAUUACUGGGCGUAAAGGGGAGCGUAGGCGGGUUAUCAAGUUGGAGGUGAAAGCCCAGGGCUCAACCUUGGAAUUGCCUUCAAAACUGAUAGCCUAGAGUAUGGAAGAGGUAAGUGGAACUCCGAGUGUAGAGGUGAAAUUCGUAGAUAUUCGGAAGAACACCAGUGGCGAAGGCGGCUCACUGGAGCCCGUUUGUUGACGCUGAGGUGCGAAAGCGUGGGGAGCAAACAGG